CAGCAGCCGCGGUAAUACGUAGGGUGCGAGCGUUAAUCGGAUUUACUGGGCGUAAAGCGUGCGCAGGCGGCCCGUUAAGACAGGUGUGAAAUCCCUGGGCUCAACCUAGGAAUUGCGCUUGUGACUGGCGGGCUCGAGUACGGUAGAGGGGGGUGGAAUUCCUGGUGUAGCAGUGAAAUGCGUAGAGAUCAGGAGGAACACCGAUGGCGAAGGCAGCCUCCUGGGCCUGUACUGACGCUCAUGCACGAAAGCGUGGGGAGCAAACAGGAUUAGAUACCCUGGUAGUCCACGCCCUAAACGAUGGGUACUAGCCGUUUGGUGCGCGAUAGCGCUGAGUGGCGAAGCUAACGCGAGAAGUACCCCGCCUGGGGAGUACGGCCGCAAGGUUGAAACUUAAAGGAAUUGGCGGG
RNAcentral lists this ribosomal RNA (410 nucleotides) under uncultured microorganism. RNAcentral describes it as "bacterial SSU rRNA". It matches the Rfam family "Bacterial small subunit ribosomal RNA", at positions 509 to 917 of the family's 1533-position model. The record is from RNAcentral.